This is a long non-coding RNA of Nothoprocta perdicaria, 1444 nucleotides long. RefSeq lists it as uncharacterized. The record is from RefSeq and is a predicted model, not a curated record. Lineage: Eukaryota; Metazoa; Chordata; Aves; Tinamiformes; Tinamidae. The transcript is spliced from 2 exons.
UUGUCCUUAUCUUGCUUUGAUGACCAUUGUGGAGUAGGAAAAUGUAUCUCGAUCAACAAUCUGAUGAAUUGCUGGCACUGCAGAAAGUAACUGAUAUCUGAACAGGAACUACUGAAGACCUUWGAUCAUCUCUUAGUUUUGGUGAAUCACAGAAAGAAGUUGAGAUUGAGUCCAAGAUUGAGAUACCACCAAAUGGGACUGGUAUAUUUAGGCAAAUCUGAAUCUUCACAAUAGCACCCACAUUCUCAUAGGGCAUUCUCUAUAGGGACUUGAGACAGACGAACUAAGGACAGUGAACUCUCUGAGAGUUAUCUUCUGUCCCAAGAAGAGAGCUUUCUUCUGUCCUUAUGGAGGAGGUGGUGGGAAAGAGGUGUAACCAGUGGAAAUCAAAGACUAGCCAUCAAAUGGUAAACAAGCGUGUCUAAAUAUCUUCAGAAGCUUCCUUUAUAAUGAACUUUAUUCACUUUGGACUAGUCUUCCUGUGGGGUUGAUAAAAGAUUCAUGGAAAGAUUUGAGUGUUUAUGGGACUCAAUAAAUAUAAAUAGACUAGAGACAUCUGAAAUGAGUCAUUCAAGCUAUGUAAAUUCCCAUUUCCCUGUAGAAAGGAUUGAAAACUAUUGAACAGCUGCCUGGCCAACGGCUCAUUCAUUCAUCUUCACAACAUAUUACAGAUUUUUCCUGGCCUGAGCURUUCCUGUUUAACCUCAACAGUACCUGUGUGCAGUGAACUCUGGUCUACAGACUUUACAGCUUGGGGUGCAUCUGUCGUCAGUGCUGCUGUUUUCGAUGCCUUUGAGGAUGAAGUUCAUUUGAAAUUCAGAUACAGCUUAGGGGAUCGCACAAAAAAUAGGAAGGAAGGACAUGUGUCUCAUUAGUCUAUUGCUAAUUCACCCUGUAGGGAAAAACUGCUCUCUUGGUGUCCUUUUUCCUGUCCCUUUUGUAGUUCUGCUUAGGUUACUGUACUUUAGGCCAAGAAGCCCCUUUUGCUUUGUAAGAAUAACAACCCUUAGGCUCAGUCUUUGGGGUUGGAAGAUAUUAUUGUGAUACACUUGCAGUACAAGUAACUUCUUUCUUGUUUUGCCAUUGAUUGAUUAUAGGAGUUAGUCCAAGUAAUUUUCUCUCUUAAUAUACGCACUUCCCUUCUCUGUCACAAUGUUGGUGUGAAGAUUAAUUAAUCUCAGGAGAUACUUUAAUGAAAGGAAUUGCCUUACUGAGCAACAGAACAAGGUACAGGCAAUAUGUAUGGACAGAACUCAUUCCAGAUCUCUACAAAGCUGUUUUCUUUUCUCCUCUGAGCAAGAUUCAAUAAGACUGUCUCAUCUUACAAAAAUGAAAAUUUUCUUGUUCGGUACAAUGUAGAACAUCUGUUGCAAAGGAACCAAUCAUAUUAAAAAAAAAGUGUUUUGCACUAGAGUGCCUAAAAUACCAUUUCCUGAUUUUUUUA